Molecule: ribosomal RNA, 384 nt
Filed under: uncultured bacterium
Lineage: Bacteria
Description: bacterial SSU rRNA
Rfam family: Bacterial small subunit ribosomal RNA
Source: RNAcentral
AAUCUGCCCCGGAGUCUGGGAUAGCGUUGGGAAACUGGCGGUAAUACCGGAUAACGUCUUCGGACCAAAGAAUUUCGCUCUGGGAUGAGCCUACGACCUAUUAGCUAGUUGGUGGGGUAAGAGCCUACCAAGGCGACGAUGGGUAGCGGGUGUGAGAGCAUGAUCCGCCUCACUGGGACUGAGACACUGCCCAGACAUCUACGGAUGGCUGCAGUCGAGAAUCUUUGUCAAUGGACGAAAGUCUGGACAAGCGACGCCGCGUGCGGGAUGAAGGCCUUCGGGUUGUAAACCGCUGUCAGAGGGGAGGAAAUUUUGACUGAACCUCAGAGGAAGGACGGGCUAAGUUCGUGCCAGCAGCCGCGGUAAGACGAACCGUCCGAACGU